CCUACGGGGCGCAGCAGUAGGGAAUAUUGCUCAAUGGGGGAAACCCUGAAGCAGCAACGCCGCGUGGAGGAUGUAGGUUUUCUGAUUGUAAACUCCUUUUGUUAGAGAAGAUAAUGACGGUAUCUUACGACUACGCACCGGCUCACUCCGUGCCAGCCGCCGCGGUCAUACGGAGGGUGCAAGCGUUACUCGGAAUUACUGGGCGUAAAGAGCGCGUAGGCGGGAUAGCAAGUCAGAUGUGAAAUCCUAUGGCUUAACCAUAGAACUGCAUUUGAAACUGUUAUUCUAGAGUAUGGGAGGGGUAGGUGGAAUUCUUGGUGUAGGGGUAAAAUCCGUAGAGAUCAAGAGGAAUACUCAUUGCGAAGGCGACCUGCUAGAACAUAACUGACGCUGAUGCGCGAAAGCGUGGGGAGCAAACAGGAUUAGAUACCCUGGGAGUC
Molecule: ribosomal RNA, 440 nt
Filed under: uncultured bacterium
Lineage: Bacteria
Description: partial 16S ribosomal RNA
Rfam family: Bacterial small subunit ribosomal RNA
Source: RNAcentral